UUUUCAGCACCGGACUGUCAAGCUUUUGUUGUUGUUGUUGUUGUGUUCAUUUGUCAUCCAGCCGCUCUCAUAGUCCGCACGUUUUUGCCUGGAGUCUGCUGUUACGUUUAUGAAUCUUGUUUUCACUGUUUUGGUUGUUUGUCUUGCACUUUAGUCAAUAAAAAUCUGCGCUUGCAUCCGCCGCCUUCUACAAUCCCUGAAACGACUAUAUAUUACGGAAUAUUUCCCUGUUUCAAUAAAAAUGCUAAAAGAAAUAACAAGAACAGGACGAAGUUUGGUGAGCACCUGCAGAUGCAGACUAGACAGUGGAUCAGGAGUGGCUGACUGGGCAGCAGUGAGUUUUUCUAAGAGAGGAUUGGCUGGACUGCAGCUGGCCGGGUGCGUGCAUUUCCAGUAAGCUUCCAGAUAGUCGG
Molecule: long non-coding RNA, 413 nt
Organism: Ictalurus punctatus (channel catfish)
Lineage: Eukaryota; Metazoa; Chordata; Actinopteri; Siluriformes; Ictaluridae
Exons: 2
Source: RefSeq, a predicted model, not a curated record